Long non-coding RNA from Larimichthys crocea (large yellow croaker), 342 nucleotides. RefSeq lists it as uncharacterized. NCBI's taxonomy places the organism in Eukaryota, Metazoa, Chordata, Actinopteri, Sciaenidae. The transcript has 2 exons. The record is from RefSeq and is a predicted model, not a curated record.
CUCAUGUGGGGGGCAGCGUCGGCGACAUCGGCGGCAGCUUCAAUGGUGUGAGGUAUCGGUCUCGCUGGCAGCGGUCCCUGCCAGGGUCGGAGGACGACGGCAGCAAAUAGCCUGCAAGAGACGCUCCAGCCAUUUUGAUUUAGUGAGGUUCUCAGAAGUCACGCCGUUUUUUUAGCUACAUAGUUUGGGAGAGAGCGCAUCACUCCUCGCAUUAUGUAGCUUUGUGCUUUACAAUGCAGGAAACAAAUAGAUAAUCAAACAGCUAAUAUCAGACAAUAUCAGGUUCAUGGCUUGCUACUGCAAACUGUCUGAAUGAAUAAAAUUGCUAUACGAACAUUCAAA